RNAcentral lists this small RNA (310 nucleotides) under uncultured bacterium. RNAcentral's name for it is "bacterial SSU rRNA". The stretch from base 1 to 275 matches the Rfam family "Bacterial small subunit ribosomal RNA", at positions 75 to 353 of the family's 1533-position model. The record is from RNAcentral.
ACCCGCAAGGGUGAGUGGCGGAUGGGUGAGUAACACGUAGGUAACCUGCCUUGGAGUGGGGGAUAACUCCGCGAAAGCGGGGCUAAUACCGCAUGAAGUUCUAGGGUUACGGGCCUUAGAACCAAAACCUGAGAGGGCGCUCUGAGAGGGGCCUGCGGUCGAUUAGCUAGUUGGUGGCGUAAAGUCCUACCAAGGCGGUCGUAAAUAGCCGGUUUGAGACGACCUUCGGCCACACUGGGAUUAUUAUCCUUCCCAGACUGAUACGGCANGCAUCAACUCGAGCAAGAUGGUACUCGANACCAUCCGGAGG